UGAAUUUAACUUUAUUAUGUAUAUUUACGAGUACCUAUCUAUCUAUUGAGUUUGAGUUUUAAAUACUCAUACAUGAUCAGGCAUAAUAGUCAAUACGUGUCUUGCGGAUGUUAAAUUUUGUCUUGAGUGCUUCAUAUUAUGUGAUUUGUGUGAGGUCCAUCCUUCAAACACGCGGAUCAUUUAAAUAGUAUGUGUACUGCGUGUAAGCUGUCAACUCGUCCUUGUUCGUACAUGAAACAAACCGUCAUAAAACUUAAAUUACAUUCAACAUAUGACGGAAUCACAUGCACACAUUGCACAGUCAGCCAUAAAAUUCUAUGUCAAGAAUUAAUAAAUUUUAGCACUACAAGCGUAUGGUAAAAGAAAACAUUUUACCCCUACGGAAAAUGCAUGUACCUCAUCACGUUGACUGUUUGUAAUGUCAAAGUUCAAUUAUUUCUUCUAUUGCUUAUACCACGCACGUCAUUGCAAGGGUGACAGGUUGGUGAAAUGUUAAAAUGACACGUGAAUAUAUGUUUACUUCUUUGUUAAAUCUUGUAUUGAAUGAAAAAUGUUUUUAUUAUUCCUCAAUAAUUAUUAAUUUUAGGUAUUACUAAUAAUAAAAUAUUCAGAGUUACUUUCAGAUUUAA
Molecule: long non-coding RNA, 629 nt
Organism: Rhopalosiphum padi (bird cherry-oat aphid)
Lineage: Eukaryota; Metazoa; Arthropoda; Insecta; Hemiptera; Aphididae
Exons: 2
Source: RefSeq, a predicted model, not a curated record